GCGCAGGAAAAGAAACCAACAGGGAUUGCCCUAGUAACGGCGAGUGAAGCGGCAACAGCUCAAAUUUGAAAUCUGGCUCUUUCAGGGUCCGAGUUGUAAUUUGCAGAGGGUGCUUUGGCAAAGGUUGUGGUCUAAGUUCCUUGGAACAGGACGUCACAGAGGGUGAGAAUCCCGUACGUGGCCGCCAACCCGCGCUAUGUAAAGCCCCCUCGACGAGUCGAGUUGUUUGGGAAUGCAGCUCUAAAUGGGAGGUAAAUUUCUUCUAAAGCUAAAUAUUGGCCAGAGACCGAUAGCGCACAAGUAGAGUGAUCGAAAGAUGAAAAGCACUUUGGAAAGAGAGUCAAAAAGCACGUGAAAUUGUUGAAAGGGAAGCGCUUGCAGCCAGACUUGCCUGUAGUUGCUCAUCCGGGCUCUUGCCUGGUGCACUCUUCUAUAGGCAGGCCAGCAUCAGUCUUGGCGGUCGGAUAAAUGCGUGCUAAACGUACCUCUCUUCGGGGAGGACUUAUAGGGCACGCGGCAUACGACCAGCCGGGACUGAGGUCCGCGCAUCUGCUAGGAUGCUGGCGUAAUGGCUGUAAGCGGCCCGUCUUGAAACACGGACCAAGGAGUCUAACAUCUAUGCGAGUGUUUGGGUGGCAAGCCCGAGCGCGUCAUGUAAGGGAACGGAGGUGGGAACCGCUCGGUUUGAGGUGAAUACCGAGUCGGAUCCUUUCGGAUGGAUUUGAAUUCGAAGGCCUGCAGGGUGCGAGCUCGACUUUGACACUCGGGUAAAUUUCAUGCUGGGAAAAGUAAACCCCUGGCAAAAUU
RNAcentral lists this ribosomal RNA (807 nucleotides) under uncultured Preussia. RNAcentral describes it as "eukaryotic LSU rRNA". It matches the Rfam family "Eukaryotic large subunit ribosomal RNA", at positions 50 to 876 of the family's 3401-position model. The record is from RNAcentral. Lineage: Eukaryota; Fungi; Ascomycota; Dothideomycetes; Pleosporales; Sporormiaceae.